AAGGAGCAUUACCAUGAAUCUGUAAAACCUUACACAGCGUUUUUAGAAGCCACAAGGGCAAAGAACUUUGAUUCGGUUGAAAUGCGUUUUCCGACCAUAGCAGAAGAAUAUCCAAAAGACAAUGCGUUUACUCAAAAAAGGGCCAA
Non-coding RNA from Spodoptera litura, 146 nucleotides. The record is from RefSeq and is a predicted model, not a curated record. Lineage: Eukaryota; Metazoa; Arthropoda; Insecta; Lepidoptera; Noctuidae.